ANACGCCCUACGGGGGAAAAAUUUAUUGCUAUUAGAUGAGCCUAUAUUAGAUUAGUUAGUUGGUGAGGUAAAGGCUUACCAAGACAAUGAUCUAUAGCUGAUCUGAGAGGAUGAUCAGCCACACUGGAACUGAGAUACGGUCCAGACUCCUACGGGAGGCAGCAGUGGGGAAUAUUGGACAAUGGGCGAAAGCCUGAUCCAGCCAUGCCGCAUGAGUGAAGAAGGCCUUCGGGUUGUAAAGCUCUUUUAGUGAGGAAGAUAAUGACGGUACUCACAGAAGAAGUCCUGGCUAACUCCGUGCCAGCAGCCGCGGUAAUACGGAGAGGGCUAGCGUUAUUCGGAAUCAUUGGGCGUAAAGGGCGCGUAGGCGGGUUAGUAAGUUAAAAGUGAAAUCCCAAGGCUCAACCUUGGAACUGCUUUUAAAACUGCUAGUCUAGAGAUUGAAAGAGGAUAGAGGAAUUCCUAGUGUAGAGAUGAAAUUCGUAAAUAUUAGGAGGAACACCAGUGGCGAAGGCGUCUAUCUGGUUCAAAUCUGACGCUGAGGCGCGAAGGCGUGGGGAGCAAACAGGAUUAGAUACCCUGGUAGUCCACGCUGUAAACGAUGAAUGUUAAAUAUGGGAAGUUUACUUUCUGUAUUAUAGCUAACGCGUUAAACAUUCCGCCUGGGGACUACGGUCGCAAGAUUAAAACUCAAANGAAUUGACNGGG
Molecule: ribosomal RNA, 708 nt
Filed under: uncultured Wolbachia sp.
Lineage: Bacteria; Pseudomonadati; Pseudomonadota; Alphaproteobacteria; Rickettsiales; Anaplasmataceae
Description: bacterial SSU rRNA
Rfam family: Bacterial small subunit ribosomal RNA
Source: RNAcentral